Molecule: long non-coding RNA, 476 nt
Filed under: Androctonus crassicauda
Lineage: Eukaryota; Metazoa; Arthropoda; Arachnida; Scorpiones; Buthidae
Source: RNAcentral
UGUCUAUUUCAUCACAGUAUGUAAAUCAAAUUCCAAAAAUUACUAAGAGAGAAUUUGAUUUCAAACAAAUCUAUAGUUAUAAAAUGCAAUGUUUGUUGGUCUGUCUGUUCUGCAAAGGCUUCUAUAUUGUUUGAUUCUGCAGGACCAAACUUGGCCUAAAAAGAUUUCCCAUGGCCUUAUGGGUAACAUAGACUACUAUUCUGGGUUCAGAUCAUCCCAAGUAGUAGGUUAUUUUGAUUGUAGCAAUGAAAAUGCCUUCAUUAGUGGAAAUGGCAGAACAUUUUGCUGCUGCUGGAGAGAGAGAUGACAAGGCACAUCUUCAGUUAUGUUUGAAUUUGGGAUGAUAUCACAAUGACACCAAUGUGCCAUCAUAAAAUGUUUCUAUUGCAUGAUAUCAUAUUAUCACUAUGAUGUCAUUGUGAUAUUAUAUGCUAGUUAAAUCAACUGGUAAAGUUGAACACAAAAAGCCAAUGGAU